RNAcentral lists this long non-coding RNA (27776 nucleotides) under Malus domestica (apple). Its description in RNAcentral is "long non-coding RNA (MDOM_LNC001146)". The record is from RNAcentral. Lineage: Eukaryota; Viridiplantae; Streptophyta; Magnoliopsida; Rosales; Rosaceae.
GUUGUCUCUUAACAUCGUCAAAAGAUGCGAAGGACUACCUUUGGCAAUUGUUUCCAUAGCUGGUCUGCUGUCAACCAAAGCUAAAGUUGUGUCUGAAUGGCAGAAGUUAUACAAUAGCUUAAGUUCAGAGUUAGAAAGCAAUCCCCACCUUACAAGCCUCACAAGAAUCAUAUCCCUCAGCUAUCACCAUCUGCCGUAUUACCUCAAAUCGUGUGUAUUAUACUUUGGCAUCUUUCCCGAGGAUUACUCAGUUAGUUGCAUAAGAUUAGUUCGGUUGUGGAUCGCUGAAGGUUUUGUGAAACCGAAGAGGGGCAAGACACUAGAAGAGGUUGGAGAGGAAUACUUGAUGGAGCUAAUUCACAGAAGCCUGGUUCAAGUUUCAGAAGUUUACAUUGAUGGAAAAGCUCGAGGUUGUAGAGUUCAUGAUCUAUUGCAUGACGUCCUCCUUAAGAAGGGGUUGGAUUCGAGCUUCUGUCAUGUGUUAUCAAAAGACGAGUCAACUUUUAAACCAACAACUCGACGUCUCUCAAUGGACAUCAGUCCUUCUGAGGCCGUGGGAAGCUUUACACAAUCUCAUAUUCGUUCUGUAUUUACUUUCAACCUAGAAGAAUGGCCUGGGUCUUUUCUCGAUACAUUGAGUGGAAACAUUAAACUUCUGAAAGUAUUGGAUUUCACAGAUGCUCCAAUCAAUCAACUUCCGAAAUAUGUGGGGGAUUUGUAUCUCUUGACGUAUUUAAGCUUGAGGAAUACAAGGGUGGAGUUGCUUCCAGACUUCAUAGGCAAUCUACAAAACUUGGAAACCUUGGAUCUAAAACAGUCUUUGGUGUAUGAAAUACCAGCCAAGAUCAAUAAGCUUGUUAAGCUGCGGCAUCUUUUGGCCUACCAUCGUGACUACAACUACGACGUGGGUUUGUAUUGGAAUUUGGAAAGAGGAGUGAAGAUACAUGAAGGUAUUGGAUGCUUACAAGCUUUGCAAAAUUGUCCUAUGUGGAGGCGAAUCAUGGAGGGAUCAGGUUAAUCAAAGAAUUGGGAAAGUUACGACAGCUACGGAAGUUAGGCCUAAAAAACUUGAAAAGUGAAGAUGGAAGGGCUGUGUGUGCUUCUAUUGAAAAGAUGAACCACCUUGAAUCUCUAAUUUUAACUGCAAUAAAUGAAGAUGAAGUCCUUGAUCUAGAAUCCAUUUCAACUCCACCACAAUUUAUUCGUGCUCUCUUCUUGAUAGGGCGUUUAGAGCAGUUGCCAGGUUGGAUUUCAAAUCUUCAACACCUCGUCAGAUUGGUGAUUUGUUGGUCAAGGUUGAGAGAUUCCCCACUAAAAGCCCUUCAAAAUCUACCUAAUCUGUUGGAGCUAACUUUGGAUAUCAAUGCAUAUGAUGGUGUGCAGCUGCAUUUUGAGGAAGGAGGAUUUCAUAAACUUAGAAAGCUACAUCUCAGGGAAAUGAUGGGACUAAAUUCGUUGAUCAUAGACGAUGGUGUCAUGCCUCUUCUCCAAGAGUUUCGCAUUGGGCCUUCCCCACAAAUGAAUGAGGUACCCUCUGGCAUCCACCAUCUCCGGAAUCUGACAUAUCUUCAUUUCUAUGACAUGCCAAAGGAGUUUGCGCGACAGAUGGAUCCAAAAAAUGGCCAACAUUAUUGGAUUGUUGAACAUAUACAAAAUGUUCGUUUUAGUUACAAGGUCGGACCAAGAUGGCGUGUAUAUGAAAUUCACGCCCUGCGUGAUUCCAACUUUUCUCUUUGGUGGAAUGCUUGAUUCCAACUUGUGAAACCAAGCAUGGGAAUGGGAUAUGCUUUGGUUAAGAGUUGGUUGUUAGCUCUGGUAUCCUAGUUUCUCUUGCAGGUUGACUGGGAGGGGCUCUUUCUCUUCUGUUUUCUUUGUGUCGUCCAAUCGUAUUCCUAGCAUUUUCCUUGUAAUUUUAUUGGUGGUUGCAAUAAAAAUAUCCUAUCCAAUUGAUUUUCUCUAGGAAAAUGAUAAACCGUAUGCUCCUUUUAACCUCACUUUGAUAAUUGAAGUUAAAAUAUUAAAUUUUUACUAUUUUUGAUCUUACCAAUUCUUUACUAUUUUAUAUUCUUUAUAUUAAUUUGUAAUCUCUAACAUAUUUUGUUAAUCAAAGGGUAGAUUUUGUGGAUUAUAGAAAUUUCAUGAAUCAUGAUUGUUUUUUUUUAUUUGCCAAAAAAUUCAUGAAUCAUGAUUGAGCAUUCUCCUUUUGUAUGUCACACAUAUUGAUCCAGCCACAUAUUUUUUGUAUGCACAAUAAUGAAAAUGUGUUAAGCGUUUAACGGUGUAAAUUCAAACUCCGUCGAUAACUAACGUAACAAAAUUUAUCGACAGACAAAAAAAAUAAAAAUUAGGUACAAGAUGUAAAGGUGAGGGCCCACAAAUGCAAGCGUUGGGGAUAGCGGAGUGGAUCCCACGAUUUCAAAAUUAUGGACAGGAGGAACAUUUCUCUCAAACUUGGGCGCUAAAAAAAGUCGUCGUCGUUUUUCCUUUUCUGGCUGAGUUUGCCUUCUUAAACCAACCCGACAUUCUCGGCCCAAACAAAUGUUCAAACCUUUCCGUUACUUCCCUUCACAAAUUUCCAAUUAGGGUUUCACAUUAACCUUGAUCAGAACUUCUACGUACAUAUAUAUACAUAUAUAUAUUUAUAUAUAAUCUCUCUCUCCCUCUGUUUCUGAAUUUUGAUUUCCCGGGAAGGUUUCAAACCCGAUCGUUUCUUCGAAAGUCUCUGAAAGCUUUUCGACAAAACAAAAAUCCAAAAUCUUUGUGAUAUCAAAAAGGAAAUAAAUUUCAAAACGCGCAUGGAAUUGGCUGGUUCAUUUGCCUGAAAGUUGGUUCAGAUAGAGAUGGAGGGAGGGGCGAGAGAGAUGGACGAAGAAUUGCUGGAGUUCGCGAGGGAGGCUUUCGAGGGGGAUGAAAUUGACAUGGACUACGAAUUGAUGCGCCAAAGGUUCUACGAUUUCACUAGGCCGGAAUCCUAUUGGGAGGCGGAGGAGGCGGAGGAAUGGUUCCGGUCCGCCGGAGGCUAUCACCCCACGCGUAAGCGAUUUCCAGAACAUUUGUUUGUUGGUUUCUUAUCAUUGAUAGACAUAUAUUGUGUGGCUGAGAUACUGCCACUUGUAUGCAGAUUAGAGAGUUAGUUAGAAAGUUAGUUAGGUAGUUUGUUUAGAAUAUUGAAAAGGGUAUAAAUACUGAUGUAUGUGGGAUUGCUUAGUAAGUAAGAAAAGUAAUAUACUGGAAGUGUUUGGUUUCUACUUCUCUCUCUAAAUUGCUUGAAUCUCUUCUUCUUCUCACUAUAUUUCUGUAGUUUAAUAUGGUAUCACUCGCCAUUAGAGCUUGAUCAGCUUCUUCGAUCCGAGUCUUCCGCAGCUCCAACACUUCGUCUUCCUCUGAAUUCUUGCUUCUUGUACGCAUUUCUUGAUUGCUUUGACUUCGUCUUCUCUGCUUUCUAGGGUUUAUUGUUUCUGGGUGCUCUGCAACUACGAUCUGGUUGCGUCUUCGUCUUCUUCUAAUAUUGCACUCCAGGUGUUUGAUCCAUUGUUUCAGUGAGUUUCGGCAACGAUGGUAACAGCUUCUCAACUUCAGCUUCUUCAAUCUCCGAUCACUGCUCUAGUUUCGUCGAUUUCUACAUCUGUGAAUGUGAAGUUGGAUGAUUCGAAUUAUCUCACUUGGCAUUUUCAAAUGCAAUUACUGCUUGAGAGUAAUGGAAUUCUAGGGUUUGUCGACGGCACGCAUCCCUGUCCUCCUCGACAUUCCUCACCAUCUGGAGAUUCUGGUGUUAAUUCCUCAAAUUCAACAACUUCUUCUGCUAGUGAUGAGUAUUUGAUUUGGAUAAUGCAUGAUAAAGCCCUGAUGCAGUUACUGACUGCUUCUUUGAGUCCAAUGGCUCUGUCGUGUGCUAUUGGUAGUACAAGCUCUCGGGAUCUCUGGAUUCGAUUGCAAGAACAAUUCUCCACAGUCUCCAAGACUAGCAUAUUUCAGAUGAAGUCUAAUCUUCAAACCAUUAAAAAGGGAUCUGAUUCUGUUGCUCAAUAUUUACAGAAAAUCAAAGAGGCCAGAGAUUAUCUUUCAGCUGCUGGGGUGUAUUUUGUUGAUGAAGAUAUUGUCAUUCUUGCGUUGAAUGGUUUGCCACCAGAGUAUAAUACAUUCAGAACAGUAAUAAGGGGACGUGAGAAUGUUAUAUCUCUGAAGGAGUUUAGGACACAAUUACUUGCUGAAGAAGCUAUUCUGGAAUCCACUGUUAAUGCACCUUUUAUGACUGCAAUGGUUGCUCAUAAUUUACCUCCGAGAGCACCUACUCAAUCCAAUUUUGUGGCUGGUGGUUUCAAGCAAUUCAAUGCUCCCAAAAACAAGGGGAAGGGCCGGUUUCAUCAAAAUAACAGGACUUUUUCAUCCAAGCCGUAUCUUCCUACUCAAACUCAUGUUCUCCAAAAUCCAAGUCCUGGUGUUCUUGGUUCUUUUCCUCAUCAGCAGCACUCCCCUCCUUCUGCUCCACAUCUCCUCUUAUGUCAACUUUGCAAUUGUGGUGGUCAUUCUGCGCCUUUCUGUCCAUCCAAUUCUUCUGCGAAAUCCCGAUGUCAGAUUUGUGGCAGGUUUAAUCACAGUACAUGGUUCUGUUUUUACAAUGACAAGGGUCCCAACUAUAUUGGUGCUGGCAAUGGUUCUUAUCCACAACCAGGGCAUCCAUAUUCUCAGCAGGCUUCUUAUUCACAGCAAGGGUAUUCAUCACAGUUUCCUGCUCCACAACAAAUUCAGUCUCAGGCACCAAUGCAGGCUUUUCAUACUAUGGUGCCACAACCCUCUCCUCCAGCAGCAUCUUCAUCUCCUUCCCAAGUUUGGAUCACUGAUUUCGGGGCAACGAAUCAUAUGACUGCUGAUCUUUCCAAUCUGUCUCUAGCUUUACCCUAUCCCACUAAUGAAGUCAUACAAACUGCCAAUGGUGAAGGUUUGCCUGUAUCUCACAUUGGUAGUACUGUUAUAAAACCAUCUCUCCAUCCUAUAAAAUUGAAUUCUGUGUUAUAUGUUCCCAAAUUAACACAGAAUCUUCUAUCUGUCCAUCGCAUAUGUUUGGAUAAUAAUUGUUGGCUUAUCUUUGAUGCCUUCUGUUUUUGGAUCCAGGACAAGGCCACAGGGAGGGUACUCUAUAAAAGAUUGUGCAGUAAUGGACUCUACCCACUCUCAUCUCUAGCCAAUGUGUCACCUGCUGGUUCUCAAAGCAUUGCUUCAAAUAAAGCCCUCCUUGGUCAGUUGGUUACUUCUUCUACUACCUGGCACAAUAGAUUAGGACAUCCAUCUAAUUCAGUUGUCUCUCUUAUGUUGCAUAAGUCCAAAGUUGCUUUUGCAAAAGACCCAAAUCCUGUUCUGUGUCCUAGUUGUCUUGAGGGUAAAUUCUGUAAACUUCCAUUUGCAUUAAGUGUCAAUAAAUCUGUAACUCCUUUUGAUGUAGUGCAUAGUGAUCUUUGGGGUCCUGCACCUUGUAAAUCUGUGGAUGGAUAUCGGUACUAUGUCACCUUCAUUGAUGAAUGUACCCGGUAUUCCUGGAUUUUCCCAUUGAUGAAUAAAUCCGAUCUUUGUGCCACUUUUAUUGCUUUUCAUGCUUAUGUUCUCACUCAAUUCUCUGCAAACAUUAAAAUUUUGCAAAGUGAUGGUGGUGGUGAGUACAUUAGCAAGUCACUUCAAUCUUUUCUUCUCCAAAAGGGCAUUUCUCAUCAAAAAUCCUGUCCUUAUACCCCUGAACAAAAUGGGAUGGCUGAACGUAAACACAGACACGUUAUUGAAACCACAAUUACUUUGUUGCAAACAGCUAAACUGCCUUCCCAGUUUUUGGUCCUUUGCAUGUCAAACUGCCAUUUAUCUCAUUAAUAGAAUGCCUACUCCCAUUCUCCAUAACCAGUCUCCUUUUGAAGCCUUAUAUGGUGCUGUUCCAGUGAUUCAUCACUUGCGAACGUUUGGUUGUGCUUGUUAUCAUUUCUUAAGACCUUACAAUGCUACCAAACUUCAAGCUAAGACUACAAAAUGUGUGUUUUUGGGAUAUGCAUCCAAAUUCAAGGGCUUCAUUUGUUUUGCAGUUUCUACACAUAAAUUCUUUGUGUCUAGACAUGUGGUAUUUAGUGAACAUGAGUUUCCUUAUAAUGACUUGUUGUCCCGAGCCACCACACCACAAUCUCCUACUUCUGUUCACAUUACUGACCUGUCAUCUCUUCCUGUCGUCCCCUCACAGCCUAUAGUCACUAUACCCUCCUCUCAUACUCCUAUUUCUCCUGAGUCUCCAUUACAUUCCCCUUCUGCUCCCGGGUCUUCAUCCUUCUCACCAACCACGUCUCAGUUUCUUGACCCACCACCCUCUCAUCAGUCCAUUACUGGUGCAGUUUCACCCACUGAUCACAACCCUGUGGUACUUGAACAUAGUCCUGUUACACUACAAGUGGUUCCUUCCAUUCCCUCCUUGAAUAUACACCCUAUGCAGACUAGGAGUAAGAGUGGUAUCAGCAAAAAGAAGGUUCUUUUGUCUGCUCUUGCUACUUCCAUGGAUGCUGAUUUGUCUAUGUGUGAACCCAAAACAUACAAAUCUGCUCUCAAGAGUCCUGUGUGGUUUCAAGCAAUGAAGGAAGAGAUCAGUGCUUUGCAUACUCAAGGAACAUGGAGUUUAGUUCCUUUACCUGCAAACAAGAAUUUAGUAGGGUGUAAAUGGAUUUUCAAACUCAAGAGACAUUCAGAUGGUUCAAUUGCACGCCAUAAAGCUCGAUUGGUUGCCAAGGGAUUUAGUCAAGAACCUGGGCUGGAUUACAGUGAGACCUUUAGUCCAGUUGUUAAACCCACCACAGUGAGGAUUGUUUUAGCACUUGCUGCUCACUUUAAUUGGUCACUUCGGCAACUAGAUGUCAAGAAUGCGUUUCUCCAUGGCAUAUUACAGGAUGAGGUGUAUAUGGAUCAGCCACCUGGCUUUGAGGAUCCCCAGAAUCCUACUUUGGUAUGUCAAUUGCAUAAGUCCCUAUAUGGCUUAAAACAGGCCCCGAGGGCAUGGAAUGACAGGUUUACUUCUUUUCUGCCUAAGUUGGGCUUCCAUAACACCUAUUCUGAUUCCUCCUUAUUUGUGAAACCUGUUGGUGCCAAUAUUGUGAUCUUAUUGCUAUAUGUCGAUGAUAUUAUCAUCACAGGAAGUGCAAUCACUGAGAUUCAGCAGGUCAUUGAUGCUUUAACUUCUGAAUUUGACAUCAAGGACUUAGGUCCUCUUCACUACUUCCUUGGCAUUCAGAUUUCCAAGACUGCCAAGGGGUUAUUUUUGUCCCAACAGAAAUAUGUACAGGAUCUCCUUGUCAAAACAGAAAUGCUUGACUCCAAGCCUUGUGACACACCCUGCUUACCUUCUACCAGGUUACUCAAGGAUGAUGGUGACCCUUAUCCUAAUCCUACUUUAUAUAGGAGUGUGGUGGGUGCUCUUCAAUAUCUAACGUUCACACGCCCUGAUAUAGCUUUCUCUGUGCAUCAAGUCUGUCAGUUUAUGCAAUAUCCUAUGGUCUCUCAUUUCACUGCAGUUAAAAGGAUCCUUCGGUAUUUGAAGGGCACUAUGUCCUGUGGCAUUACCUAUUCUCAAGGGGACUUGGCACUAUCUGCAUUUAGUGAUGCCGAUUGGGCUGGAGAUCCCAAUGAUCGGCGAUCUACAACAGGGUCUGUGGUGUUCCUCGGGCAUAAUCCUAUCUCAUGGUCCUCUAAGAAACAGCAGACAGUGUCCCGAUCUUCGACUGAGGCAGAGUAUCGUGCUUUAUCCUCCACUGCAGCAGAACUUGAUUGGAUUCAACAAAUCCUUGCUUUUCUGCAUUUUCCGAUGUCUGCUCCUCCUGUUUUAUACUGUGACAACCUUUCUGCUAUAGCCUUGUCUUUCAAUCCUGUCCAACAUCAACGGACCAAACACAUUGAAAUUGAUGUGCAUUUUGUUCGAGAGCGGGUUUCUCAGAACAAGCUUGUGGUGCAGUUUGUGUCCUCCAAGGAGCAGUUGCUGAUAUCUUGACCAAAGGCCUCAGUUCUUCAUUGUUCCUUUUUCAUUGUAACAAUCUCAUGUUAGGAUCAUCCAAACAUGAGCUUGAGGGAGGAUGAUAGACAUAUAUUGUGUGGCUGAGAUAUUGCCACUUGUAUGCAGAUUAGAGAGUUAGUUAGAAAGUUAGUUAGGUAGUUUGUUUAGAAUAUUGAAAAGGGUAUAAAUACUGAUGUAUGUGGGAUUGCUUAGUAAGUAAGAAAAGUAAUAUACUGGAAGUGUUUGGUUUCUACUUCUCUCUCUAAAUUGCUUGAAUCUCUUCUUCUUCUCACUAUAUUUAUGUAGUUUAAUAAUCAUGUCCCAAAAACAAUGAAUUUUGGAUCAUCUCCUAUGAUUACCACAUUAAUUAAUGAUCGUUUUCUGCUAAUAAAUUUCAACAUCUACAUGUUUAGUUCAUGCAUUUUAAAUAUGUUACGUUGUUUUAUAUGAACAGAUUAGAGAUUAAUUGAAUUAUAAAUAAUGUAAUUUGAUUAGAUUAAUUUGUUACCACUAACUUUGUAUUUUCUUUGUUUAAUUUGUUUCAAAUCCUUUAGCCUUCCUUGAAAAAUUGUUGAAUUGGCAAAAAGAGAAUCAUCCAGUACCUGUAAAAACCUCUGCGGAAUCGAAAGAUGUUGAAGUUACUAGAUGCAGUACCUUGAAAAAUUGCAUGGAAACGGAGAUCUCUGCAUUCGUAGACGAUAAUGACAAAGGUACAUUCGGCCUCAUCGACUCAUGUCUUAUUAGAUUUUCGACGCAAUGUGAUAGUUCGUUGUAAAAUUACCGCACUUGGAAAAUUUUAUGUCUGUUAUCUGAAUCGACUUUGCCUGAAUUAGUACAUGAAGUUGUAUCUCACUGUUAUGUUUUAUGUUCAUGUUUCGACAUGAUUAGAGUUUUCUAAUCACAUGGCUCAAGACACUCUGAAAACCAAACUGAAGUCCUCGGGUAAGUCACCACAUCUAUUAAGGAGUUCAACGUUAAUGAAAUUCACGGCGAGUCAGUUGGCCAAGCAAAAUCAGCACCGAGAGGUUCACUCCAAUCGGUUAUUAAGGAGGUGCUGUUAUUUUUCUCUGAUGUUUCUGUUGUCAUUAAUGUAUGUUUUGUUCUAAUUGUUUGGUGGUCUAGUUUUCUAACUUGUCCCAUUUUCCGACUCUUGAUUACAGAGUUGCGAAAAAGCUCGAGAAACUCGAUGAGAAAUCACAGAAUUCUCCGCCACCUACGAUGGGCUGCGAAAAUUCGAAGCAAUGUAGCAUAGCACUUUGCAAAUUCGGUAGUGCUAUCACACGUGCAUUCUUACUUCUCACUAACCCCUCUCAAUUUUUCGGCCAUUGGAAAAAUAAGUGUGUAAAUAACACUAUCCUACAAAUUACGCAACCGAAACUAUAACAGAAGAGCGAUUAUAACGUAUUAAAGUACCAUCUCACUAAAUUAUCCAACAAUGUUUCAGAGAUUAGGAACAAUCAUACUACUUUCAGCUCAGUCAUUCCAUCAAACGGCUGGUUCGCUGCAAUUCCACUUAUGCUCAAAUCACUACCGUCCGUUCCUACCAUCGAUUCCAUCAAAUUCUCCGAAACCCAUUUCUCAAUCAAAUCCAAACACAGCUGCAACCACACCCAGAAAAUUAAAAAGUCGAACUUUACAAAACUCCACUCCGAAAACAUAAAUUACACAAAACCCAACAAAAUCUCACCCUGUUCUCGGACAAUCCGACUUGAAUAACCCCAUCCGGAUUAUCCACCCUCUCGUACGGGUCCUCCGAAGCCCUAUCCAACCCGAUAUAGUACGGCGAGUCAUUGGGCUUCGCAAUCCAGCUCGCCCGGGAGGACAUCCGGACCCGGCCCAUGGACCCGCGGGUGGACAAGCUGGACCGCGACAGCGUUCUGGGGAGCUCCGCCAGGUUGGAGGAGGACUGGGAGGGGGAAGGUGGAUCGGGUUUGGAGGGUCGCCGUCGUUUUAGGUAGAGCUGGAGGCAGUAAUAGAGAGCACAUGGGAUUAGAGAGGCGAGGAUGAGGCCGCCUCUGCCUUGGACGACGCCUUGGAGUGGCACAAUCAGUCUCAUCGCGGUGACUCCGGUGGGCUUGUUUCGGGUUGGGUCGGAGUCGGGUUGGCCGGUCCAGGUCUCGAGCUGCAGUGGGAGGGUUUCGGGUUGGCCGUUGGUUGGCGUGGAGGGAUUGAGUGAGAUUCGAGAGCCCUGCGAGGGAAGUGUGUGUUUUGCAGUUUCGCUACCAGAAACUUUUGGUCUGGUUAUGAUUGGCACCUGCCAGUUUCCAUCUUUGCAUCUUUUGUUGGUGGCGUGCAAACACCAUCGUCGUAUAAUAACAAAAAAACGAUUUCAUUCUUUUUGGGGCUAAAGAUGUAAUUUUGAAUCAAAUGCUUUUCUUAUCAUAUUUUUUUAUACCGUAACCGUUAUCUAAUAAAGAUAAGAUACAUAUGUGUGUAGACCUUACUUUUAUUAGAGAAAUUGAGAAUUUUUACUGUGCUCAAAACAAUAGUUGUACCAUAUGUCCUGGUGCAAAUACUAAAUAUUAUUCUGUGUUUCGAGCACAUUAAAAAAUCUCUCGGAUCACAUUGUGUUUGGACCUGAUUUUACACAUCGGCCUAAGCAAUCGAGGCCGUUGAGUAAGCAUGGUUCUCAACCGUUGGAUAAGAAAGUUUAGAUAUUAUUGUUAAGAGAUAAUAUUAUGAUUUUUAAUCAUAAUAAUUAUUUUUUUAAUAAGUUAUCUCGGUUUUUAUGCAAAAUAAAUGGGAUGGAGGCAAGUAGAGUUGUGAUGGGGACGUGAGCUUUGAAUCAGGUUGGUUUGUUUUGCUGGACAUGCAUGCAUGGGAUGUAAAGAUAAUGAAGUGAUAGGGGAUAAAUCCAAACAUGCCAAAACGUGUAAUUUGCAAAAGAAUUGUGCAAUAUGGAGAUUCUAUCCUAAUGCAUGGUUUUUUGGGAUUGGUUUUGUGCACGUGGCAUGCGACAAUGGAGAUGAUGGUUUUGCAUGGUGAUGGCAAUAUGGGUUUAAAGGUUUCUCAUGUUUUUUAAUAAGAAGCCUAGGUGGGUUAGAUCUCUAGUGAGAUGUGAUAAAGCCUAGGUAGGCUUUAUUUAUCUGAAGGAUAUGUGCGGCGUAUUUGAUACGGGAUCAGGGUUUAUCUGAAGGAUAUGCGCAGCGUAUUUGAUACGGGAUCAAGGUCAAUUCCACAAAAUAGAGUUGCAGUUGGACUCUACAAAAUUAUUUGGCCGCGUCACACAACAUUUGCUCCUAUAAAUAUAGAGGUAGUGGCAACGGAAGAAGGACCCCUGCAAAUCAAUACAAAAUUGCCCUGCGCAAAUUCUCACAACUUGUGAUUUUUCUUUUCCCUUUUUUCGCUGACACAUCUUCCGUUGGCAUCAACAGCACUGUGGAAGCAACCGGUGAUAUCUUAAGUCGGCAUAGAUAGCUCUGUCACCGUAGAAUCAGUCGGUCUCGCAAUACUUUCCGUUGGCAUCAACAGCACUGCGGCGAGAACGACCGAUUACCUAUCCAAGUCUCGGUCGAGAAGGAUUUCUGAAUCCUUAUUGGUCGAGGUCAUCUCAUCAGCCUUCUCGGCGAAGUGAGGUGUUACGAGUUAUUACAUUCGGCACAUUGAGGGCCGAAUUUGAUAUUGAACUUCGUGAGAAUAGUAACCUUGUCUUCAGGUUCGAGAGCCCAAGAGGCCGAGACGUGUUCCUUUCUUGGCCGCAAUCGCAAGACGCAGAAGUCAGUAGCGCGACCCAACGCAACAUCAACAAAUUUACUCCUCGGCCGAGCUCGGCCGACGAGUUGGCACGCCCCGCAUUCACCGAAGGACGUAGUUAGCUUAUUAAUUACUCGGCCUGCGCGCCACGUAGGCUUGGUAGUUUUUAGGGUCAACAUUUUGGCACGCCCAGUGGGACCCAGUGCUAAACUACGAAGUUCACAUGAUCUAUCUCGAUCCGGCUUCAAGGGAUGAGUGUUAUCGCCUAUUAAAGGAGCAAAACAACUUCUCGAGAGUUUGAGAAGAAUUUCUGAAAGGCAAGAGGCCGGGGGGCAAAUCUCCACUCCGGCCACAACCAAUAUUCAGCCUAAGAAAAGUGAUAAUUUGGCCGAAGAACAAAGGCCACUUGUUGUUUCGGUAGAGACUGAAAAUAUAGUAGGCCUAGAAGAAAAAAUUCAAGUCCCUAAGCUAUAUACAAAAAUUGACUUGGAAAAAGAUUCGUCAAAAGAACGCUCCAGUGACGAACGAGGCCGAGAUAUUGGCCUAGCCCGAGAAACUACGCCAAUUGAUAUGAUUAUUGGCAAUAAAGCCGAUAUGGAGAAAUCCUGUUCGGCUAAGUUAUUUGAAUUAAAAGCCGAAAUUAUGCCUGGGGGGCAUAAUAAUUGUUCAGCGCAUUCGGCGGCCGAUAAAAAAUCUUUCGUCAAGUCAAACAUAUUUGGAGAUAGUAUUUUAUUCGGCCUUGCAAAAAUUCAAAGUGAAAGUUUUGAUACAAAAAGCCUUCGGCUUGGAAUAAAACAUCGUUGGCCUCCUCCAUUUAUAGUAGGGCCACUUUUGUUUUCUUUUGCUACAAAAUAAGAAUAAAUUAUUUUCUUAACCAUUCGGCUUUUUAGGCCGAUGCUUAAGAAAAUAAAGGGGGCAAUAAGAUGGUGCGGACUUAGAAAAACAAGAAAAAACAAGAUGGUGUACUCGGCAGACAAUUUUGGUCAAAUAAUGGUGUACUCGGCAGACAGUUUUGGUCGAAUGAAUUUGCGAGAGCAUGCAUGACAAUUGCUCGGCAGACAGUUUUGGUCAAAUGAAUUUAUGGGAGCAUGCAUGGUUGCGAAGCUUGCUCAAUUCAGUUUCGAUGUGCGGUUUAAUAUAUAUAUGUGUGUGUCAGAAUGACCCAUCACAUGAAACAGAAAGAGAGACGCAUACGGAAAAGACAAAGGAAAAUUCAUGAAGUUAUGGUAGGCUUCCACAUGGGCUAACCUUUUCGUUUGGUGAUGUAGUGAUCUGUGAAUUCCUAACAGCAUUAUUUGGCCGAAUACAAAUCUUUGGCCGAAUAAAACAUAGUUCGGCCGAAUAUAAUGGGUUAUAUAUAUAUAUAUAUAUAUAUAUAUAUAUAUAUAUAUAUAUAUAUAUAUAGGCUCUACAGCCAGUUCUUCUCGGUCUCAGCCCUAUUUACUCUCGACCCCAGUAUUUUUGACCGAUACUAGUGUUUUCUCGACCCCGGCAGUUGAGAGUUGGAGUAGUUCACGACACUGGCAGAGGGAGGUUAUGACAUUGGCAGAACAUAGGUGAUUUUAAUGCCGAGAGACAAAAUUUGUUUCGGCAAUACGACGAAGUGUUGUUGGCUACGAGCAAUUAAUUUCCUUAACCAUUCGGCUUACGAGCCGAAGCUCACGGAAACUAGGGGGCAAUGUUUGGACCUGAUUUUACACAUCGGCCUAAGCAAUCGAGGCCGUUGAGUAAGCAUGGUUCUCAACCGUUGGAUAAGAAAGUUUAGAUAUUAUUGUUAAGAGAUAAUAUUAUGAUUUUUAAUCAUAAUAAUUAUUUUUUUAAUAAGUUAUCUCGGUUUUUUAUGCAAAAUAAAUGGGAUGGAGGCAAGUAGAGUUGUGAUGGGGACGUGAGCUUUGAAUCAGGUUGGUUUGUUUUGCUGGACAUGCAUGCAUGGGAUGUAAAGAUAAUGAAGUGAUAGGGGAUAAAUCCAAACAUGCCAAAACGUGUAAUUUGCAAAAGAAUUGUGCAAUAUGGAGAUUCUAUCCUAAUGCAUGGUUUUUUGGGAUUGGUUUUGUGCACGUGGCAUGCGACAAUGGAGAUGAUGGUUUUGCAUGGUGAUGGCAAUAUGGGUUUAAAGGCUUCUCAUGUUUUUUAAUAAGAAGCCUAGGUGGGUUAUAUCUCUAGUGAGAUGUGAUAAAGCCUAGGUAGGCUUUAUUUAUCUGAAGGAUAUGUGCGGCGUAUUUGAUACGGGAUCAGGGUUUAUCUGAAGGAUAUGCGCAGCGUAUUUGAUACGGGAUCAAGGUCAAUUCCACAAAAUAGAGUUGCAGUUGGACUCUACAAAAUUAUUUGGCCGCGUCACACAACAUUUGCUCCUAUAAAUACAGAGGUAGUGGCAACGGAAGAAGGACCCCUGCAAAUCAAUACAAAAUUGCCCUGCGCAAAUUCUCACAACUUGUGAUUUUUCUUUUCCCUUUUUUCGCUGACACAUCUUCCGUUGGCAUCAACAGCACUGUGGAAGCAACCGGUGAUAUCUUAAGUCGGCAUAGAUAGCUCUGUCACCGUAGAAUCAGUCGGUCUCGCAAUACCUUCCAUUGGCAUCAACAGCACUGCGGCGAGAACGACCGAUUACCUAUCCAAGUCUCGGUCGAGAAGGAUUUCUGAAUCCUUAUUGGUCGAGGUCAUCUCAUCAGCCUUCUCGGCGAAGUGAGGUGUUACGAGUUAUUACAUUCGGCACAUUGAGGGCCGAAUUUGAUAUUGAACUUCGUGAGAAUAGUAACCUUGUCUUCAGGUUCGAGAGCCCAAGAGGCCGAGACGUGUUCCUUUCUCGGCCGCAAUCGCAAGACGCAGAAGUCAGUAGCGCGACCCAACGCAACAUCAACAAAUUUACUCCUCGGCCGAGCUCGGCCGACGAGUUGGCACGCCCCGCAUUCACCGAAGGACGUAGUUAGCUUAUUAAUUACUCGGCCUGCGCGCCACGUAGGCUUGGUAGUUUUUAGAGUCAACACAUUGUUAAUAAGCUCUUCAAUUCAAGUUUUCCUUUCUCACGGUAUCGAUAAUAUACCAAUGAAUCCACUUAUAUAUAUAUAUAUGUAUGUAUCUUCCCAAGUAGAGGGUAUAUAUAUAUGUGUGUGUGUGUAUCCUCCCAAGUAUACCAGCACUCCUUAAAUUAUUGAACAUUGAAUCAGAACAAGUCUGCAAUAUGAUGGAUUACACAUGUCAAUGGUUGAGACAAACGCUGACUCAUCACAUCACUCUUGUGUGUGUGUAUCUUCCCAAGUAUACCAUCACUCCAUAAAUGAUUGAACAUUGAAUCAGAACAACUCUGCAAUAUGAUGGAUUACACAUGUCAAUGGUUGAGACAAACGCUGGCUCAUCACAUCACUUUCAUAGAUUAGAGGCAGAUUUUCUGCCCUCCUAUUUGGAUCCCCUUCUCAUUCCAUUCUAUUUUAUGUUGUCACGAUUAAACCACGUCAAUAUUUUAUAUUGAUUUUUUUUAUAGAGAUAAUAAAACAAAAAGCAAUAUGAAUAUAAAAUGUUGACGUAACUUAACUGUGAUCACACAAAUAGAAGGGAAUGAGAAGGGUACCCAAACAGGAGGGCAGGCAACCUGCCUCCUCAUAGAUUCGGUCUCCUUGCAAUCUAGAAAGCCAUCUGCAACCUAAGCAGAAAUAUUCCACCACAAUUUAUUCGUGCUCUCUGUUGAUAGGGCGUUGAUAGGGCGUUUAGAGCAGUUGCCAAGUUGGAUUUCAAAUCUUCAACACCUCGUCAUAUUGGGUAUUUGUUGGUCAAGGUUGAGAGAUUCCCCACUAAAAGCCCUUCAAAAUCUACCUAAUCUGUUGGAGCUAUUUUUGAAAAUCAAUGCAUAUGAUGGUGUGCAGCUGCAUCUUGAGGAAGGAGGAUUUCAGAAGCUGAGGCAUCUGGAACUCAAGGACAUGGAGGGACAAAAUUCAUUGAUCAUAGACAAUGGGGUUAUGCCUCUUCUCCAAGAGUUUCACAUUGGACCUUCCCCACAACUGAAGGAGGUGCCCUCUGGCAUCCACCAUCUCCGAAAGCUGAGAUAUCUUGUUUUCUUUGACAUGCCAAAGGAGUUUGAACGACAUAUGGAUCCAAAUAAUAGACUGCAACAUUGGAUUGUUGAACAUAUACAAGAUGUCCGCUUUAGUUACAAGUUCGGACCAAGAUGGGGGUGUAUACGAAACUCACGCCCGACGUGAUUCCAACUUUUCUUUUUGGUAGAAGAUUCCAACUUGUGAAACCAAGCAUGGGAAUGGAAUGGUCUCUUUUUGUACAGUUUUUGGUUAGAGAGGUUUAGGGGUUGUUAAGAGUUGGUUGUUAGCUCUGGUAUCCUAGUUUCUCUUGCAGGUUGACUGGGAGUGGCUCUUUCUCUUCUGUUUUCUUUGUGUCGUCGAGUCUAGUGAUAUUUCUAGCAUUUUCCUUAUAAACUGUUUUUUUUAUUUAUAAAAAUUGAAAAAUAAAAAGGUAUCUUCUUCUCAAAUUCAGAAUGUUCAAGUGACCUAAUAAAAUUUCAUUGAACUUUAGGCGAAUGAAUCAAGUUUUUACUAGAGAUAAGUGUUAAUCUACAAUGGCUAUUUAUUCAAAAAGUUUUUUAGUAGUUUAAAAUCAUCAAACUAACUUUUUUUUUUGAAUGUGUUAAAAUUGGUUACCUGCAGAUAAUGAGUUCUUAACAUGUGAUUCAAUACCGACCCAAUUAGUUAAUGUGUAGAUUUGAAAUCUAUUAUUUUCGUACCAUUUCGAAUCGAGUUAACAGAUCGUAUAAGAAAUUGUCAGAUCUAACUUAAAUUUGAAAGGCUUGAUGACCGUUGGCAGGCCUACCAAAUAUAAAAUGGUUGUUGUUUGUUUGUUAAUUUAUAAAAACUUAAAAAGAGAGUUGGGUAGGUAUCGUAAUGACGCAAAGCCAGAGGCAACCACCUCUCUAAUUCGAGUUUUCCUUUCUCACUGUACCAACACGAGCAAAUUAAUCCCCUCAUAUAUCAUCGCAACUCCACGGUAUAUAAUAUAGCAACACUCCUUAAAUUAUUGAAAAUUGAAUCAGAACAAGUCCGCAAUAUGAUAUGAUGGAUUACCAAAGUCAAUGGAUGAACCAAACGCUGCCUUAUCACAUCGCUUUCAUAUUUUCAAUCUCCUUGCAAUCCAGAAAGUCCUCUGUAACCUAACCAGAAAUAUUCCACACGGAAGUAUUCAUAUAGAGAUUUUUCUCCAUCAAUUAUAGAUACUGUCUGCCAGAAAAGGCAGGAUACAAAAUGGCAGAAUCAGUUGUAUGCUUUGUGAUCGAUAAGUUAAUUUCACUACUCGUCACCACAGAAGCGAAACUUUCAAGAGACGUGCGUGCUGAAGUUGGUUUUCUCAGAGAUGAACUUGAAAGCAUCCGAUCAUUCCUCAAGGAUGCAGACGCUAAAGCAGCAGCAGCAGCAGCAGAAGGAGACAUGGUGACUGACAGUGCCAAAACUUGGGUCAAACAAGUAAGGGAAGCAGCUUUUUACAUUGAAGAUGUCAUCGAUGAGUAUUUGCUUCGUGUCACAAGGCACCAUCAAGACCGCGGAUUCGUUCGCUUUGUCCACAAAGUUGUUUGGUUUCUGAAGAAAAUGAAACCACAGGAUGAGAUAGCCUCAAAAAUAGAGGGCAUGAGAGCAUUGGUUAGUGAAAUCAAGGCUAGACAUGAAAGAUAUGGGCUUAGUUCAAUUGAUCAGCAAGGUCAAAGCAGUGAAGAAAUUGUUGUUUCGUGGCAUGACCCUCGAGUGGCUUCCCUUUUCAUCGAGGAAGCUGAAGUUGUUGGUGUGGAAUCUGCCAGAGAUGAGCUGAUUAGUUGGUUGGUAGGAAAAGCAUCAAGAGGCGCAUACCGUGAAGUAAUAUCAGUGGUUGGCAUGGGAGGACUUGGUAAGACCACUCUCGCCAAGAAAGUCUAUGACAACCAAAGGGUGAUCGAACACUUCGAUUGCCAUGCUUGGAUUACAGUGUCUCAGACGUACAAGGUGGAGGAUCUUCUGAGGCAGAUGGUAAUGCAAUUCUACAAGGCCAGGAAGGAAUAUACCCCGGAGGGCAUUGACACAAUGGAAAAAGAAUCUUUAAUUAGAAAAUCAAGAGAAUUACUGCAGCAAAAGAGGUACGUGAUUGUGUUUGAUGAUGUAUGGAAAGUAGAAUUUUGGGAGGCGAUAGAACAUGCUUUGCUGGAUAAUAAAGGGGGAAGAAUAGUGAUCACCACGAGGAUUAAAGAUGUUGCUGAUUUUUGCAAAAAGUCUUCUUAUGUUCAUAUUUACCGUUUGCAACCUCUGCCUCCAAUCAAGGCAUGGGAAUUGUUUUGUAGAAGGGCAUUUCAAUACGAAUUGGAGGGGAACUGCCCUGCAGAUUUGAAAGAUUUGUCUCUUGAAUUCGUUAGAAAGUGCGAAGGAUUGCCUUUGGCAAUUGUUUCCAUAGGUGGUCUGCUGUCAACAAAAGUUAAAGUUGUGUCUGAAUGGCAGAAGUUAUACGAUAGCUUAAGUUCAGAGUUAGAAAGCAAUCCCCACCUUACAAGCCUCACAAGAAUUCUAUCCUUCAGCUAUCAUCAUCUACCGUAUCACCUCAAAUCAUGUGUCUUAUACUUUGGCAUCUUUCCCGAGGACUACUCAAUUAGUUGCAUAAGACUAGCUCGGUUGUGGAUCGCUGAAGGCUUUGUGAAACCGAAGAGGGGCAAGACACUAGAAGAGGUUGCAGAGGAAUACUUGACUGAACUGAUACAUAGAAGCCUGGUGCAAGUGUCACAGGUUUGGAUCGAUGGGAAAGCUAAAAGCUGUCGAGUCCAUGAUCUGAUGCGCGAAGUGCUCCUUAGAAAAGCGGUGGAUUCAAAUUUCUGUCAUGUGUUAUCAGAAAAUGAGUCAACAAUAAAGCCAAUAACUCGACGCCUCUUGAUAGACAGCAUGCCCUAUGAUGCCUUGGGAAUAAUUGAACAAUCUCGCAUUCGUUCUUUAUUUACUUUCAACCAAGAACAAUGGCCCGAGUCUUUUCUCAGUACACUGAGUGGAAACUUUAAACUUAUGAAAAUAUUGGAUUUUGGAGAUGCUCCCCUGAAUCAUCUUCCGAAGUAUGUGGGAGAUUUGCAUCUCUUGAAGUACUUAAGCCUAAGGAAUACAAAGGUGAAGUUGCUUCCAGAGUCCAUAUGUAAUCUGCAAAACUUAGAAACACUGGAUUUAAAACAGUCUCUGGUAUAUGAAAUACCAGCCAAGAUCAAUAAGCUUCUAAGGUUGCGACAUCUUUUGGCCCAUUAUACUGACUCCAGCUCAAGGUUCAGGAUGAUCAGUAACGAACGAGGAGUGAAAAUACAUGAUGGUAUUGGAUGCUUACAAGCUUUACAACAGUUAUACCAUGUGGAAACAAAUCAUGGCGGAAUCAACCUAAUCAAAGCAUUGGAAAAGUUGAGGCAGCUGCGAAAGUUGGGCCUGAAAAACUUGAAACGUGAAUAUGGACGAGCUCUAUGUGCUUCGAUUGAAAAGAUGAACCACCUUGAAUCUCUAGAAGUAAGCACAAUAAGCGAAGAUGAAGUCCUUGACCUGCAAUCCAUUUCAACUCCACCCGAAUCUAUUCGGUUUCUCUACUUGAAGGGGCCUCUAGAGAAGUUGCCAAGUUGGAUUCCAAAGCUUCAACGACUUGUCAGGCUACGAAUUUUUUGGUCAAGGUUGACAGAUGCCCCACUGAAAGCUCUUCAAAACCUUCCUAAUUUGGUAGAGCUUGGGUUCUCAUUCAACGCAUAUGAUGGUGUGCAACUGCAUUUUGAGGGAGGCUUUAAGGAACUCAGGGUGUUAAAACUCAAGCACUUGCCCAGACUAAACUCAUUGAUCAUAGACAAUGGGGCUAUGCCUCUUCUCCGAGAGCUACAAAUUGGGCCUUCCCCACAACUGAAGGAGGUGCCCUCUGGCAUCCAGCACCUGAGAAAUCUAAGCUCUCUUAGAUUUGUUGACAUGCCAAAAGAGUUCCGACAACAUGGAUCCAAAUAAUGGCCAACAUUAUUGGAUUGUCGAACAUAUACAAGAUGUUCUUUUUAGUUACAAGUUGGGACAAAGAUGCGAUGUAUAUGAAACUCACGCCCUGCGUGAUUCCAACCUGUGAAAGCAUAUCUACAUGUGAGUUUUAAUCCCAGAACACCCCAUAUAACUCGCAAGGCUUAAAUGAAAUCGCCAAAUGUCAUUGUUGACACGAUCUGUGAUAUUCUUUAGUAUUAUCAACUGUUAUAGAUGUUUGCUUUGUAUGAAAACAAAAAAUAAAAACUUCAUUCAUGUUUGUGAGGAUUUGAUUGUGUUUGAGCAGGCAACAUUGAUUAUUUCUCACAACCCAGACAAGUGUUUGGCUAAUUAUUUCUCACACUAUCUAAUCAAAUGAAGGGCUAGGAGUUUCAGUUUGAGUGACGGUCCUAAAUCAUUUCUUUCGUUCCAGACAUGUUUCUGAAUUUGAAGCAUUAAACUUUUACUCAGCACACAAGCAUUGUGCGUAAGAUUUUUUUCAGUUGAAAGGCUUCACGGCAAGCCUACCACAGGUCUCCGAGGAUAAUCAUAGGAAACUUGCGAGGUUGAAUAUCAUUUGCAACCCAGCUAGCAGAAACAAAAGAGUCCCUUCUCCAGUACCAAGCUUAGCUAGAAGUCGAGGUUUUUGCCACAUGAAUUAAUUACGUAAAAUGAAACAAAUUAAAACUGAAUUAUGCUUGGUUAGUGAUGGAUGGCAGAUUCAAAUCAAAGAGAAGCAGUUAUAUAUGUUAAUGGAAGAUCAGAGCAAAACGCAUGGCUUAAACUUCAUUGUUUUACAUCUGCAACCGUAUCAGAAAGAACACAAAAGUAAGCAUACAUAAAGUGUGUUAAUACCUGAUUGAAUAAGUUAAUGAAAAAGUAGCAGAAGCAGUUGUAUUCUUUGUGAUUGAUAAGUCUCUACUCAUCUACUGUACAGAAGCAAAACUUCCAAGAGAUGUAUGAUAGAGAUUUUAACACAUGUUCAGGAAUUGGUAUAAACAAUUUACGAGUUUUUGAAUUAUUUAACUUAAUUAGCUCUAAGAACUAUGUUGGAGCAGUUAUGUUUUUAUUUAAUAUAUGUAUAUAUAUAUAUUUAUGAUUUGUUUUAUUAGAAACAUUAAAUAUAUAUAACUGUUAUUAGGAGUAAUUUUUAUUUGUAAAUAUAUUGGAGACAUUGUCAAUUAGGAGUAAUUUCCCUUCUUAAUUAUAUAGGAGACGUGAGGAAGUUUAUUACUUCAACAAAUUUGAUAUGCCUUCUCUAAAUAGAGUAGAAGAUCACGUCCACCUCCAUAUAUAAUCUAUCCGUUUUGAUUUUUACGUUUUGGUUUAUUCCGGAUUUCUAGUCCUUAAUUUAUAAAUCCUUCAACCUCUAUUUCUUUACUUUGUAUAUAAAUACAAGUCCUGAGUAUCGAUAAAAAAAAGAUAUAUAUAUAUAUAUAUAUAUAUAUAUAUAUAUAUAUAGAGAGAGAGAGAGAGAGAGAGAACUAUAAGCUGUUAAAUAAAUAAUUUUUGAAAUUAAGUUUUGAGAGCAACAUAUUGAAAGGGUGCAAGUUUGAAGGUUCUUCCAUUGUGCAAGGAAGAACCUUAUCAGAAGAAGGUUAUAGGCUGUUUUAUCCUGGGGACGACAUAGUGUUUGUGAACUGCUUGCACACUUUGGGCAGAGCUGCGAUAAAGAGAGCGACUUAGUCUGCGACUCAUCCUAAGAAUCAUUCAUCACUCAAGGCUUUUACAUUUUCCGGGUAACUUCAUUCAUUUCUAUUUCAGUUUUCAACAAACUACAUUAAUUUGACAAAACUAAAUUCUAUUGUACGUGACUUAAACAAAUAUAUCAAAUGAGAAUUGGCUUACAGAAAUAGUGAUUUAACUAAACAAAACAAGUAAAUGUAGAAACUUAAGAUAAUAGAAAUAAUUGAAGAAAAUUAGAUUGACAAGGCACUAGAGUUCGACCUUUACCAACAACACUCCUACGUAGCUCUUCCAAUUGCUUAAGUAAUCGAAAACACACAUGCUUUGAAGGUUGAGUUUUUCCUUAUGUAGUUUUACUUGUGACAUUCAAGCUAAAACGCAUACCACUACAUGCAAUUCAUCCAUGACAUUGAGAUUAAAUAUAAACAUGAGUGAUUUAUUAAUCUUGGUGAAAAUCCUUUUAAUAAACCAUGUAAUCCCUAAAAGUAUGAUAUUUACCUUAGGAGAAAUUACAAUCCUCAAUCACAAGAAGCAUAACCAAUUUUAACGUGACAUUCGUUCAAAAUUACAUCCGAUGACUGUUCUAAGCAUCCUAAUGGUGAUCAAGUAUCAAGGCACAUAUAUAGUUUAAUUUAAUGAUUGAAAAUAUCAAAGCAAACAUUUAAUAAUACUUAAGCAAUUAAAAGAGAAAUCUACGUAUUCAUGUUGAGGCUCAUGGCUUCACUCUAGUGAAAGAAAAUUAAUUAUACAUACUUAUCUAAAAACAUAAGAAAUUAUCCAUAAAAAAUCAAGGAAAGAAUACAACCUUUAGGCCAUCUCCAACCGAUGGCUGGCCAGAGGACUCGUUUAAGCCCUUUGGCCCUCCAAGAUUCUCCAAGAUAUUAAUAUUUUAAUGAACAGUACAAGGCCAUAUUUGCCUCCGUCUCCAACCGAGGACCAGAGGGCUCGUUUUAGCCCUUUCACAAAAAACCGUCUCCAACCGAGGGUCAAAGGGCUAUAGGGCCAAACAUAAUUUAUUAUUUAAAAACUACAACUUAAACGUUUUUAAAUGUUUUUAAAAAUGUUGUUUAAGUUUCAUGUUGUAUAAUUUUUAUGUUGCUUAAUGUUAUUUAAUGUUGUUUCAUGUUACUUAAUUUAAUUUAAUGUUGUAUAAUAACUUAGGAAGUUAUAGGAAAAAAAUAGAAUUUAAAAAAAAUAUGAAACAAAUUUUGUGAAAUAGAAGUUAUAGGAAAAAAAAAGAAUUUAAAAAAAAUAUGAAAUAAAUUUUGUGAAAUAGAAGUUAUAGGAGAAAAUAGAAGUUAUAUCAAAAAUUUUGUAAAUAAAAAAAAUAAUAAAACUGUAAAAUAAAAAAACAAAUGCAACAGCUAGCCGUUGCAUUUGAAUUUUUUCUUAAAAAAUCAUGUCGGUUAUAACCGACAGGAAUACAUGCUAUUAUUUAAUAUAAAUGUAUUACUGUCGGUUUAUUUAGUAUAAAUGUAUUACAUAACCGACAGUAAUACAUUUAUAUUAAAUAAAAGCAUGUAUUUCUGUCAGUUAUAACCGACAGAAAUAACAAAACAUUAAAAAAAAUAGCCAGCCCUCUCCGAUUCCGUAGGACCCUCCCAGAUUCCAAAGCCCUCUGGCCUAACCCUCAGUUGGAGACGGUUUUCAGGUUAUUUUCGGUCCUCUGGCCCUCUGAACCUUUUGUUGGAGAUGACCUUAUUUACAAGAAUUAUUCCUGCUGAGCUGCUUCCACCCUCCUCUCUCUGCCUUUGCUCUCUUCUUCUACUGUGCCUUCCGUCCGUCUCCCUGCUUCUCUUCUGUUUUUCCUCGUCUGUUUCGUGCCCUUCCUUCAACCAAAUGCAGCUAUCUGCUUUUUCCCGGCCACAAAGGCCCAGUGGAAGACAAGUCAAAUUUCACUUCGGUAGUGGGAUUGGCAAGGCAAAGCACAAAGUGCCCGUUCUUUUUCUUUUUUCUCCACUUGCCGUGUCCCAGCUUGGAAAAUUCCAAAAACGUUCGGUCAUUCCCAGUUGCCAAAGCAGGUUGGAGCUUUUGAACUCUUCUUCCGCUUUCUGCGCACACCCACUACCUCACAAUUACAACUUUAUUAGCCAAUCUAAUAUUAUAUCUUUAAUUGCUUACCAUGUCCUCUUCCAAUUGACAAGUGACACAAAGUUUCUAUGGAAAUUAAUAAAAAAUGUUUGAAAAUUUUGACUUUUAACGAAAAUAACACAAAUGUGUUGUAAGUGAAUAAUAUCCAAUAUUGACUUUUUAAAGUAAAAAGGAAAAUUUUGAAAUAGGUCCAGUUUUAUAGGCCUACUUUUAAAAUAGAUUCAAUUUUUAGUGACUUUUAACUUUUGAAAUAAGUCAAAUUUUUUAUUACUUUGAACCCAUAUCAAAAUACCUCAAGUAAAAAUGUGAUUUUCCAUUAAAAUGAACCGUACCAAAAGUGUUUUGUUGAAACUUACUUCUUAUUUUUAGAACUCAUAGAGGAGGAAAAGGAGAGAGAGUGGCGGAAAGAAAAUGUGGAAAUAAUUUCCACAAUUAGUUUUCUAUGUUUGCACACUUCCAAUAAUUUUCAUCACUCAAUUCUCACAUCAAGGGAAACAUAAUCAUGAUCACAAACAUAAUCAUGAAGUUUCCUCAUCAUUUUAUUUAUUUAUUUAGCCGAAAGCUGGUCCUAGAAACACAACAUGGCAAAAAUAUCACAAAUACUUAAAACUUUCAACUAAACUAAACAAGAAAACAAAAAUAAAAAGGCGAAAUAUAUAGAAAAAAUAUUGGUUCAUCAACAUACGCACUAAAGUUGCUUUCAUCUAUAAAAUCUAAGAGCUCUUAGAUAUAUUAACAUGCCGAAACAAUUCAUCGAGAUGUGAAUCCGAAAAAUGGCCAGUGUUAUUGGACUGUUGAGCUUAUACGAACGACAUGUUAUUUGUAUUUACAAGCGUGGGACGAGAUGCUGCACACACGAGAUUCACAACCUGCAUGAUUCCAGCUUGUGAAGGCGCACAGGCGAGUCCUACUUAACACCAGAAUACCCUGCACCCUGCACUUCAGGAUGCCGCAGUGAAAUGAUCAAAUUUCAUUUUUUUUCCCUAGCUGCCAUCACUUUAUUCUUCUAGGAGAUGCGACGAUUGGUGAGGACUUAUGUGGAACAGAUUUAUUGUAAACGUGGCAUCCCAAUUUAAUAAUAUAAUGCCACAUGACAUUGUCUUAUUGAACUGAGGCGCAACAGUGAUGGUGAACUCAUUUCAUGUAAGUUGCUAUUAUUGUUGGGUGUCCUUACGCAAAUUUUUCAAGACAAGGUGGAUUUUUAACCAAAGAUAGUUGUGUGGAAGCAUGAAAUAUGAAACCAAUAAGCUAAUACAACAAAAUAUGACAAGACAAAUAAUCCAAAUUAACACAAGGAUUUAUACUGGUUCGACGUAAGCCUACGUCCAGUUCAAAGACGGCGAGAAAAUUCGAUUAAUUGUUAGAUCCCAUAUCGCUGUGAGGAGUGGAUCCUUUAUGCCUUAUAUGUACAUGCCCACCUCUAUAUAGCACGAAAUCUUUUGGGAGCUCACUGACUUCGGGUUCCGUAGGAACUCCGAAGUUAAGCGAGAAAGGGGCUAUAGUAUUCCCAGGAUGGGUGACCUACUGGAAGUUCUACUCGCGUAAGUUCUCAUAAACAAAACCGUAAGGGCGUGAUCGAAGCCCAAAAUGAACAAUAUCGUACUACGGCGGAAUCGAGCUCGGGAUGUGAUGGAGCCCAGGUCGAGGUCACUAAUAGUCAAAAUGAAAAUUACAAAUUUAGUUCAACUCUCAAAUCCCAAAAUCCACAUACACCCAAUAACUCUCAUUCAUACAAAGAACAAAUGGAGAAUAUGGAAACACAUACCUAAUCCCUUCUCCCAAAAGCCAGAAAAAUUGUAGCACCAAUAUCUUGGAUUGAUUGAUUACAAACAAAGGGAGUUACAAACAAAAGGGAGAGUGCAACAGCUCUUCUUCAAAUGGGAGAGCCGAAUGCUCUCUCCUCUACUCACCUUCUUUCUGCUGCUUCCACCCUCACACUCUACCGCUCUCCUCUACUUAUCUCUCUGCAAGAUCCAGCAAGGAAGAUAAAGAGCACAACGAUGAAAGCAACAUUUUCUUCUCCGCCAACCAAAAAUGCCGAAAGAAAAAAAGGGAGGCAGAUUCUCUGCCCUCCCACUUCCCAUGCCCUCUUGUUUGUGUGGUCACGGUUAAGCAACGUCAAUAUUUUAUAUUACUAUUUCUUUUUGUCUUAUUAUCUCUAUAAAAAAAAUAAUAUAAAAUGUUGACGUGCCUUAACCGUGACCACACAAAAUAGAAGGGCACGGGAAGUGGGAGGGCAGAGAAUCUGCCUCCGAAAAAAAAAUCAACCUUUUCUUUUUUGUUCUACAAACAUCAUCAUUAUGCCUCCUCAUUAUGUUCCCACAUCAUUAUAUCCCCUUUUUCUUAUUCUAUUUUUCUUGCUUUCGGCUUCUUUAACAAAUGCAGCAAUUGCUGCCAAUUAAAACAAACGAAAACUAAUGAAAAUAAUUUGAAAAUUUUGAGUUUUAACGAAAAUAACAAAAUAAAAAGUAAAGUAAAUGGUACUAGAAUUAACCUUUUAAUGUAAAAAUGUAAUUUUUCGUUAACGUAAACAGUAUCGGAAGUUUUUUUGUUAAAAUUCUCAAACAAAGGAAAACCACCCGUGUCUUUCACAUGGACCAAAUAAACAAAACAACUUAAUGGGCAAUUGGGUCAAUAAGUGGCCCACCACAAUUUGGCACUAGAUUCUCACCUUCGACAAAGUGAAAACAAAACCAUUGGAAAAGCAAUAGCCCAUGUCUCAAGUUAAUAAGAAAGGUAUCUAUUUGCUUCAAUGUUUCUGACUCUCUUGAUACCAAAGCCAUCUGCUUCCCAUCGUUCAUAUUUCUUCCUGAUUCUUGCAUCCUCUUCUUUUUCAGAUUUCGUUUCUCUACCUUUGCAUCUCAAUUUUCUCUGUUUUUCUAAACAACUGCUUGCUCACCCAAACCGAAAGGCACAUUGCUUGGGGUUGUGGGGUUGCACAUAUUAUAUGGCAGAACAGAUUGUAUGCUUUGUGAUCGACAAGUUGAUUCAACUAUUCAUCACUACAGAAGCAAACCUUUCGAGAAAUGCACGUAUUGAAGUUGGUUUCAUCAAAGAUGAACUCGAGAGCAUCCGAUCAUUCCUCAAGGAAGCAGAUGCUAAGGCUGCAGCAGCAGAUGGAGAGACUAUGAACGACGGUGUUAAAACUUGGGUCAAUCAAGUAAGAGAAGCAGCCUUUUACAUUGAAGAUGUCAUCGAUGAAUAUUUGCUCCACAUCAUACAGCAUCAUCAACACCAUGGAUUCAUUCGUUUUUUCCAUAACAUAAUCCGGUUGGUUCAAAAAAUGAGAUCACAGGAUGGGAUAGUUUCGAAAGUUGACGGUAUAAAAAAAUUGGUUCGUGAAAUCAAGGAUAGAAGUGAAAGAUAUGGAUUCAAAUCUAUUGAUCAGCAAGGGCAGAGCAGUGUAGAAAAGACUCUACCGUCGAACGACCCUCGAGUGGCUUCCCUUUUCAUUGAGGAAGCUGAAAUUGUGGGGAUUGAAUCUGCCAGAGAUGAGCUAACUCGUUUGUUGGUAGAAGGAGCGCCAAGACGUGAAGUGAUAUCAGUGGUUGGCAUGGGAGGACUUGGGAAAACCACUCUUGCCAAGAAAGUGUAUGACCAGCCGAAGGUGAUGGCACACUUUGAUUGCUAUGCUUGGAUUACAGUGUCCCAGUCGUACAGGGUUGAGGAUCUUCUGAGGACGGUAAUAAAAAAGUUCUACAGUUCAAGGAAGGAGCGUUUCCCAGAGGAAAUUGACACAAUGGAUGAGGAGUCCCUGAUUAGCACAUCUAGAGAGUAUUUGCAGCAAAAGAGGUACAUUGUUGUGUUUGAUGAUGUGUGGAAAGUAGAUUUUUGGGGGGCAAUAGAACAUGCUUUACCCGAUAGUAAAGGCGGACGAAUAAUUAUCACUACACGGAUUCAAGAUGUUGCCAACUUUUGCAAAAGAUCUUGUUUUGUUCAUGUUCAUCACUUGCAGCAUCUGCCUCCAAACAAGGCAUGGGAAUUGUUUGUAGGAAGGCAUUUCAGUUUGAAUUGGAGGGAAAGUGUCCUGAAGAGUUGGAAGAGUUGUCUCUUAACAUCGUCAAAAGAUGCGAAGGACUACCUUUGGCAAUUGUUUCCGUAGGUGGUCUGCUGUCAACCAAAGCUAAAGUUGUGUCUGAAUGGCAGAAGUUAUACAAUAGCUUAAGUUCAGAGUUAGAAAGAAAUCCCCACCUUACAAGCCUCACAAGAAUCCUAUCCCUCAGCUAUCACCAUCUACCGUAUUACCUCAAAUCGUGUGUAUUAUACUUUGGCAUCUUUCCCGAGGAUUACUCAGUUAAUUGCAUAAGAUUAGUUCGGUUGUGGAUCGCUGAAGG